RNAcentral lists this ribosomal RNA (274 nucleotides) under uncultured bacterium. RNAcentral describes it as "partial 16S ribosomal RNA". It matches the Rfam family "Archaeal small subunit ribosomal RNA", at positions 473 to 747 of the family's 1478-position model. The record is from RNAcentral.
AAACCAGCACCUCAAGUGGUCAGGAUGAUUAUUGGGCCUAAAGCAUCCGUAGCCGGCUCUGUAAGUUUUCGGUUAAAUCUAUAUGCUCAACAUAUAGGCUGCCGGGAAUACUGCACAGCUAGGGAGUGGGAGAGGUAGACGGUACUCGGUAGGAAGGGGUAAAAUCCUUUGAUCUAUUGAUGACCACCUGUGGCGAAGGCGGUCUACUAGAACACGUUCGACGGUGAGGGAUGAAAGCUAGGGGAGCAAACCGAAUUAGAAACCCCGGUAGUCC